RNAcentral lists this long non-coding RNA (12803 nucleotides) under Capsicum annuum. Its description in RNAcentral is "long non-coding RNA (CANN_LNC014152)". Lineage: Eukaryota; Viridiplantae; Streptophyta; Magnoliopsida; Solanales; Solanaceae. The record is from RNAcentral.
ACUCUACUAUACAUGGCUUUGUGGACUCUGAUUUGACCAUGAACCUGGCUCUGAUACCAACUUUGUCAUAACCCAAACCGGGGCCUGGCCAUGAUGGGCAUCUCUAGUCCCCCGAGGAUCGGAGAUCACCCCCUUGCCUAGUCAAACAUCACAUAAUAUACCUAGCAGUGGAUGAGUUCAAAACAUAUAACAAGAUAAAAUACUUAAUAAUAAGAUUGUACUAAGAAUUCACAUACCAAAUCCCAAUCCACAGUAAUCCACAAAGCCUCUAAACAGACCAAAAUAAAUCUAACUCAGGACAUGCCCCCGAUGAUAGGCAAAAAGAAACCAAAUGGUAGUCUAUGAUAUAAAUGAAACAUGACUUAUAAAAUGAUAACCCUUCCGAAGAUUAGAAGCUCAUCACUUCAAAGCUGACAGCGGACAACCACAAAAUCUAUCACUACGUAAAAAAAGAAGAAGUGUCUUUGAAACCUGUAUCACGUGGGGAUACAACACUUAGAGAUGGUUAGUGAGGUGAGCACUAGUAUGUAACUUAGGAAAGUAGUAAAGUUAUGCCAUAAUCAAACAAUUUAAAAUCAUCAAAAGCAAUGCACAUACUCACAUAUAGUAUAUAUACAUCACGCCAAACCAAAUUAUCUAGCCAACUGGGACUUUAACCCAUCGACCAAUAGGACUUUAAAUCGUUUAGCCAACUGGCACUCUAACCCACAAGCCAAUAGGAUGUGAAUACAUUUAGCUAACUGGGACUCUAAUCUAUUAGCCAGUAUAACUUUAACAUGUUUUUCUAACAGGGAAUCUAACCCAUUAGCCAAUAGAACUUCAACACAUUUAGCAAUUGGGACACUAACCCAUUAGCUAAUAAAACUCCAAUGCAUUUAGCCAACUAAAACUCUAACCUAUUAGCCAAUAAAACUUUAACGCAUUUAGAUAACUAGGACUCUAACCCAUUAGAUAAUAGAACUUUAACACAUUUAGCACUGGGACCCUUAGCCAUUAGCCAAUGGAACUUUAAAGGUUCUAAUUCAAAUUAAUCAAUGACCAUCAAGGCCCUUCUAAAGCCAAUACAUGUUUCAUUAGCCUUUAUGCCAUGCAAAAGUAUAAUUGAGCAAGUCAAAUCAUGUGACAAAACCAUAAUCCAAUAUAAAUCCCAUAAAUGGGUUAAGAGGACAUAAUUUUCAAACCAUAUGUCAAGUCAAAAUCAUCAAAUUGGGGAAACCACGACCCCUUAGGUUAUUUACCAUACUCAUGCACCCCACAAGUUCAAAACCAUUAGUAAAACAUAUUUAAUGCAUAAUAAAUCAUGGAAAAUCAGUUUAAGAAUCAACCAUGCUAAAGCCUUUAACUCAUAUCAAAAUGCCCAUUCAAAUCUACACAAUUAAACCAUUAAAACAUAUGUUUUUAAUAAAAUAAGAUUUGGGAAAAAGUGGCAUGCUUAAAAAUCAGGAUUUAUGGAGAGAAAUCUACCCUUAAGCCCCAAGAUGACCAAGUUUAAGAAACCCUAGCUUGUUUUUCCCUUAGGGUUUUGAUAGAAUUUGAGAGAGUAUUUUGAUUGCUAAAGUGAUAAAAAUAACAUCCCGGGGGUGUUUAUAGUUGUGGGCCUUAAGUGAGAAAAGAGGGAAAUGUCCAAAGUGCCCUCAGUUAAAAGCUGAAAAUUAUUCGCCAGUGACUACGGGUCACCCUACGACUUGUAUAGACUUAUUAUGACUCGUCACCAUAAGUCUAUUACCUAUGGUCACCCAUACUUUUUUGGCUAUGAGUCAUACCAUACGACUCAUACUCGGACAUUACAACUCGUUAGGUCAAAUAUAGGCAAAAUAGAAAUAUUUAGGUAUCACACUGGUUUGGCUACGGAUGAGACUAUACAACUCGUAUAGAGUCUUUACGACUCGUAACCUCUUAGUCCUAGUCACAUAGAAACUCCAAGUUGAAACACUGGUUAGGAUAUAAUUGGGGGCUCAAUACCCGUAAUGACAUAUUACAACUCGUAGGGAGAGUCAUAGUCUGGGUAGUGUGCUCAAAGGUCAAGAAAUUUUCAAGGAACAAAAAGCUGGGGUGUUGCAGUCACUCAAGUGAAGGCCCUAAGUUUGAGACCAGUGGCUACGACUAGACCUUACAGCUCGUAAUUAGUGACUAUAGUCGUAGGUAGGGACUCAUAGCCUGACCAGUAAAGGACCCAAGACUCAAGAUUCAAACUACGACUCCAUCUUACUACUCGUAGUUAGACAUUACGAGUCGUAAGAAGGAAGUCAUAGUCAGACUAGAAAAGGGCCCUAAACCCUAGAUUCUAGCCUACAACUUAGACUAUGACUCGUAGUCAGUCCCAAUGAGUCAUAGGGUGAGUCGUAGUAACUGGGAACCCAGAUUUCCUGCACGAUUUCCAAGGGCUCUUAAGUAUUUUUCCCACUUCUUUAAAAGCCCAACCCACAUCGUUUUGGCUUCCCAAGGGGUGGUAUAAAAGACCCAAACUCUUCCAAAUCAUGAAUUAAUUGUAUUUCCACCCUAAGAAGUUACAAGGGGCGAUUUUCUCCUCUCCAAGAAGAAAUUAGGGUUCUUCCUAAGUUCAAUUCCAAGCAAUCUCCCUAAGGUUUUUCCCUCAGGUAUGUGGGAUAUUAUCAAUGGGUCGCUUCCACCCAUUGAGUUCUAAGAAUUACCUAUUUUUACAAGUAUAAACCCUUUUCCCUUCUUUGUGCAAUUUCAUGUCAGUUAUGGAUUUUAUAAAUUUUCUAUCAAGUGUUUUGAAUUUGAACCAUGAAAAUAUGUUUUUCCAUGAGAAUUGUGUUUAUAUAUGUUUUAUAAUCUCAGUCACCUACCUUAUGAUCAGUGUUGUCAUAUUGCGUACUAUUUAUGAUAUUCCAUACUAUGAUUUCCUUAUCUUAUUCAGUAACAUUAGUCUAUGCUGGCGGAUUAUGAACACCUAAUACCUAGGAAAAUCAUGCAUGUUACAGUUUUCAGGUUUUAAGUCAUUCAAAUUAUGCUUGUAUCAUUAAAUUCAGAAUAUCAUCCUAAUGAGCAUUUAUCAGUACCAUAUUAUGUUAAAAAAAAAAUAAUAUCAUUGUCAUUCAGUUUGGAGUAAUACUUAGCACCGAGUGAACACAGGGAUGGAAGCUCCCUCAUUAGUUAGGCAUGAGUAGUUAGUAGAAGUCACUAAGUUCCAGACCUACGAUGUCACCAUAGAACUUAAGGGGUCCCCCAUCAGUAGAGGCAUGAGGCCCUUGUUCUUUAGGACAUCAGAUUAGUAGAUCUAUGCCAGCCAGUAUUUGUACCCUUGGAAAAGUACUAAUACUCAUCCAAUUGGGGAUAUUAGUUGGACCCUAAUUUUGCGUAGAUUGGGGUAUGUCAGUUGUAGUUAGCUCCCACAAUCUCGGUUCAGUAUUUAGAUUAUACCAGUUUAGGUUUGCAUGACCAAGUGUCCAGUCUAUCAGUUAUUCAGUUAAUCAGUUUUACAGAUUUCUUCAGUACAUGCUUUACUUAGUCUUUCAUUCAAUUUACAUGUUUAUGCAUUCAUGUACAAUACCAUUAUAUAUAUAUAUGUAGUUAGUUGGGCUCCAACAGGCCGAGACCCCGCCUGCACCCGCCACGCCGUCGUCCUCAGCCGCAGCCCCAAGCGAAAUCCGGUGACUUCUAACCUUUGUUAUUUCAUUAUUUCAUUAUUUCGUUAUUUCAUAUUGCAUUUUAGUUCGUUAUCUCAUAUUUCAUAUCGCAUUUUAGUUCGUUAUCUCAUAUUUCAUAUCGCAUUUUAGUUCGUUAUCUCAUAUUUCAUAUUGUGAACAUUGUCUGUUGACUGUUGUUGCUGUUGCGGCGGUCGCUGCUUAGUUUUGCUUCGGGAGUAGUCCCGUCAACGUGUGUGUGCCUUGUAUCUCCUGGCUGCUGCUUGGAUAUUGCCACCGGCUAUAUCCUUUUACUUCCCUAUUUUUUGCGUGUAGUUGUGGCUGUGGGCGGUAAUGGGUGGUUAGGGUCAUGUCCGAGGGGGUUGGGGCGUGGGGCUGUGGUGGGGGCGGGGGAUGGGGAGAGAGCGGGAGUGGGUGGGAGGCCAAGGUUUGGCCGAGGGGGGGGAAGUGGGGGGCGCGUGGAUAGCGACGGUAGGCUGAGGGUUGGGUCUUGGAAUAUAGGGACCCUUCAGGGGAAGUCCAUAGAGCUGGUGAAGAUUCUUAGGAAGAGAAGGAUCAACCUUGCGUGUGUCCAAGAGACCAAGUGGGUAGGGUCUAAGGCUAGGGAUGUGGACGGUUACAAGCUGUGGUACUCUGGGAGCGACAGGCGUAGGAAUGGAGUUGGCAUCUUGGUAGAUGAAGAGCUUAGAGGUCAGGUAGUGGAGGUGAAGAGGAUCAACGAUAGGUUGAUGACUAUCAAGUUGGUCAUUCGGGGGUUUACCCUGAACGUGUGUAGUGCCUAUGCGCCGCAUGUGGGAUCGGAGGGGGAGGAGAAGAUGCGGUUCUGGGAGGCCUUGGAGGACGUGGUGAGAGGCGUGCCCAGUUCGGAGAAGAUUGUGGUAGCAGGGGAUUUCAACGGGCACAUCGGGGCGCUACCGGGAGGCUUUGGGGAUGUGCAUGGAGGUUUUGGUUUUGGGGAGAGAAAUGAAGAGGGGGCGACCCUAUUGGAGUUUGCGAGGGCGUUUGGGCUGGUGGUGGUGAACUCGGGCUUCCCGAAGAAGGACGACCACCUGAUCACUUUUCGGAGCGCGGUAGCCAGGACCCAGAUUGACUUCUUGUUGCUUAGGAAAGGGGAUAGGGCGCUGUGUAAAGAUUGUAAAGUCAUCCCGAGUGAGAACCUUUCGACCCAACAUAGGCUCUUGGUUAUGGAUUUGGGUAUGAAGAAGAAUAAAAAGAGGAGGAGUAAGGAGUGUAGACCGAGAAUUAAGUGGGGCGGUUUGACGCCAGUGAAUGCGUGGGAGAUAGGGGAGAGGUUGGCGGGAAUGGGGGUGUGGGAGUGUAGGGGGGACGUGGAUAAUAUGUGGGACAGGGCGGCAGCGUGCAUCAGGGAAAAUGCAAGGGAGGUGUUGGGUGUUUCUAGGGGCCGGGCCGGACAUCAUCGGGGGGAUUGGUGGUGGAAUGAAGAGGUGGGGAAGAAAGUGGAGACCAAGAAAGAGUCGUAUGCUAAGUUGGUGGAAAGUAAGGACGAAGAGGAGAAGCGGGUAAACAGGAAAGAGUACAAGCUAGCAAGGAAGGAGGCGAAGUCAGCGGUCACGGCAGCUAAGACGGCUGCUUUUGAGAGCUUGUAUGCAGGGUUACAGGGGAAAGGAGGGGAGAAAAAGUUGUUCCGACUCGCUAAGGCUAGGGAGAGGAAGGGUCGUGACCUCGAUCAGGUGCGGUGCAUUAAGGGGGAGGACGGUAGAGUGUUGGUGGAGGACGGCCACAUAAAGAAGAGAUGGCAGUCGUACUUUCAUAGGCUCUUGAAUGACGAGGGGGACAGAGCUAUUGUGUUAGGGGAACUGGAGCACUCAGGGGAGUGUCGGGAUUUUAGCUAUUGUAGACGUUUUAAGGUAGACGAGGUUAGACAGGCAGUCCGCAGGAUGCGAAGGGGUAGGGCGACGGGGCCGGAUGAGAUACCGGUGGAGUUUUGGAAGUUCGUUGGAGAGGCUGGUGUAAGGUGGUUGACUGCAUUGUUCAAUGAAAUUUUCAGGACAGCAAAGAUGCCCGAGGCGUGGAGGUGGAGUACCAUGAUCCCCCUCUAUAAGAAUAAGGGGGACAUUCAGUGUUGCAAUAACUAUAGGGGGAUUAAGUUACUGAGUCACUCUAUGAAGAUCUGGGAGAGAGUGGUCGAGGUGAGGCUGAGACGGAUAGUGUCUAUCUCGGAAAACCAGUUCGGAUUUAUGCCCGGCCGCUCGACGACGGAGGCAAUUCACCUGGUACGGCGGUUGGUGGAGCAAUAUAGGGAAAGGAAGAAGGAUUUGCACAUGGUGUUCAUCGACCUAGAAAAGGCGUACGACAAAGUCCCCAGGGAGGUGCUUUGGAGAUGCUUGGAGGUGAGUGGAGUACCGCAGGCAUAUAGCAGAGUAAUUAAGGAUAUGUAUGAGGGAGCGAAAACCCAGGUGAGGACGGCGGGAGGAGACUCAGAGCAUUUCACUGUCCUGACAGGAUUGCAUCAGGGAUCUACUCUUAGUCCCUUUUUGUUUGCGCUAGUAAUGGAUGUGUUAACGCGGCGUAUCCAAGGGGAGGUGCCGUGGUGUAUGCUUUUUGCAGACGAUGUAGUCCUGAUAGAUGAGACGCGAGGGGGUGUGAACGACAAAUUAGAGCUGUGGAGGCAAACUCUGGAGUCUAAAGGGUUCAGGGUGAGCAGAACCAAGACAGAGUAUGUGGAAUGUAAGUUUAAUGACGUAAGGCGAGAGAAUGAGGUAGUGGUGAGGCUAGAAGCGCAGGAGGUAAAGAAAAGGGAUAAGUUCAAGUACCUCGGGUCCGUGAUCCAGAGUAACGGUGAGAUUGACGAGGAUGUCUCGCACCGUAUCGGGGCGGGAUGGAUGAAGUGGAAACUUGCAUCGGGGGUGCUGUGUGAUAAGAAGGUGCCGCCCAAGCUUAAAGGUAAAUUCUAUAGGGUGGUAGUCCGUCCGGCCUUGCUGUAUGGAGCGGAGUGUUGGCCAGUUAAGAACUCCCACACCCAAAGAAUGAAGGUGGCAGAAAUGCGGAUGUUGCGCUGGAUGUGUGGACUGACCCGAAGGGAUAGAGCUCGGAAUGAGACUAUCCGGGAGAAGGUUGGGGUGACUUCAGUGGAGUGUAAGAUGCGGGAAGCACGAUUGAGAUGGUUCGGACACGUGAAGAGGAGGGGCAUGGAUGCCCCGGUCCGUAGGUGUGAGAGGCUAGCGUUGGAUGGUUUUAGACGGGGUAGGGGUAGACCGAAGAAGUACUGGGGUGAGGUGAUUAGGCGGGACAUGGAACAGUUACAGCUUACCGAGGACAUGACCCUAGAUAGGAAGGUCUGGAAGACGCGAAUUACGGCAGAGGAUUAGGGCCUGUUCGGGUCGCUAAUGUAGGGAGGUAAUUGGUGGGGGUGUAUUCCUGGUAUGAUUCCGUAUUCAAUGUUCUGUUCCGUGUUCCGUGUUCUAUGUUUGUUACGAAUCUGUGUGCUUUCCUCUGCUUUAUAUUCCUGCUUUCCUGCUUUACUCUGUUUUAUAUUCCUUAUGGCUGCAGUAUCUAUGUUAUGUCAUCUGCUUCUGUGCUGUACUAUGUGUUUGUUUGAUAUCUCGUAACUUGAGCCGGGGGUCUUUCGGAAACAGCCUUUCUACUUCAUCAGAGGUAGAGGUAUGGACUGCGUACAUCUUACCCCCCCCAGACCCCACAAAGUGGGAAUACACUGGGUUUGUUGUUGUUGUUGUAGUUAGUUCGUAUCUCGCACACCAGGACAUUCAUAAUAUAGGUUCGGACGUCCAGUUCCCUGGUCAUACUUAGACAAUUUAUGAGCCAUUCAGCAACAUUGUGGUGAGUCCUCAUUCUUUGAGGACAAGUUAUCCGUAGUUAAUUUUAGUACUUUUAUUACAGUCAGCUGGAGUUAGUUGGGGGUUUGUCGCAUCAACUCCUUAUGUUAGAGGCUUUCAGAUAGUCAAACAGUUAGUUAUAUUUUCAAUGAUGCAUUUCAGACUCCUUUAUUUUUUUAUUUAACUAUUUAAACAUUUAUUAAAUAACUUCCACAUAGUAUUUUAUUAUUUUCCUUCAGUAUUUAUAGCUUGUGCCAGAUCAUGGGAUAGCUUGGGGGCACUUAUGGCCUUAAGCACUGUGUUACAACUAGGGGUAUUCUUGAGUAGUGACAACAUUAUAGUUGGACUGCUGGGAAUAUAAGCAACCAAGAGUCAUUGCAAUUGUAUAUGCCAAAGGUGAUGACAGGAAAGACUCAACUUAUGGGAAGACAUGUACUCAAUUGCCAAUAUAAAUUUACUUUGGAUGGCUGGUGGUGACUUUAAUGUGAUAAAGAUUAGAUUGAAAGAUUUCCAGUUACUCUGAAGGAAGUAGAAGACUUUGUUUUUUGUAUUAACUUAUGUGAUCUAUUGGGCACUAAAUUUAAAGGGAGUCCAUUCACAUGAUGGAAUGGAAGGGCAUAAGUAAAUGUAUUUUUGGAAGACUAGGCAAAAUUGUGAUGAAUCAAUCUUUUCUUGGCAUAGCAGGGCAAGUGAAAAUAGAAUAUUUGGCAAGAAUAGGGUCAGACCAUGUUCCUUUGUUACUUUCGUGUGGUGGACAGUCUAUGCACUUUAGGAAACCUUUUAAAUUCUUGAACUUUGGGGUGGACCAAUCAGAUUUUAAAGGUGGUGAGAAAUAGUUAGACAUCUCAAAAAGAAGUUGAUAUUUUCAUUUGUCUAAAGCAAAAAAUGAAGAAUACCAAAACAACUCUUACUUUGAGUAGAGAGAUAUUUGGUGAUAUUUUUAAACAAUUGAUCAUAAGAGAAGAAGUUAUUAGACUCAAAUAAGAAUUGUUAGAAAAAAAAUCCAACCUCCAGUAAUAGAAGUAUACUUCAAAAGGCAUAGGCUAAAUUGAAAAAAUAAGUGCACUUUAAAGAGGCAUUUUGGAGGCAAAAAGUUGGUAGUCAAUGGUUCUCUAAAGGUGAUAGGAACACUAGUCUUUCCAUUGUCUAGUGAAUAGGAGAAUAAAGAGAUUGACUAUCAAUAGAAUUAUUAAAGAAAAUAGUCAAUGGACGGAACGUAAUGAACAAAUGGCUACUGAAGAUAUUUCUUACUUUCACAAAUAAUUUUCAUGUGAGCAAGGUAAAAAAGAUUAUUCUUUACUCACCCAUAUUCCUAAUUUGGUUACUGAAUAGAUAAAUAAGGUUAUCAAUGAUUUACCAACAGAAGAAGAGGUGAAAAAGGCCAUUUUCAAAUUGAAUGGGCAAAGUGCUAGUAGAUCAAAUGGUUUCUCUGGAUUUUUUAUCAAAGUUUUUGGGAUAUUGUAAGAGCUGAUAUUAUUAAAAUGAUGAUUACUUUUUUAAAGGAAGUUUCCUUUCAAAGUUUAUUACUCACACUAAUUUGGUCUUAUUACCUAAGAAAGACUUUGUUCAAUCCUUUACAUACAUGAGACCAAUUAGUUUAAGUAAUUUUUUUAAUAAAGUGAUUUUUAAGAUUCUUCAUGAUAGAAUUGAAAAUUAUCUUCCUAUGCUUAUUUCUAAACUAAUCUGGUUUUGUAAAAGAUGUUCUUGCUCAAGAGAUAAUUACUGACAUUGGAAAAAGAGAUAAAUCGACUAAUGUGGUAAUUAAAUUAGACUUGGCAAAAGCAUAUGAUAAGAGUGGAUUGGAAUUUCUUGAUAAAAGUUCUAGAAAAGAUUGGUUUUAAUAAACAAGUGGUUGAUUAAAUUUGGAGGUUGAUGGAAAAUAAUUGGUAUUCCAUUCUGAUCAAUGGUCAGCCUUAUGAUUUAUUUCACUCUAUCAGGGGGUGAAACAACGAGAUCCUCUAUCCCUGCCUCUUUAUUUUAUCUUCAAAAAUAUUAGUUAGAGCCCUGAAUUCUCUAUUUUACAAUAAGGAGUUUAUAGGCUUUGGAAUGCCAAAAUGGAGUGAUGAUAUUAGCCAUUUGGCCUAUGUUGAUGAUACCAUUUUGUUUGUCUCUGCAGACAAAAUAUCUCUACAAAUGGUGAUGAACACUCUUAAAAAAUAUAAAGAACAGUUUGGAUAGAAGAUUAAUAAAAAUAAGAGUACCUUUAUUAUACAUACCAAGAUUGUUGGCACUGUUGUUCAGGAGAUAGAAGAAUGUAUUGAAUUUUAUAGGGGAAAAUUUGCUCUGAUGUACUUGGGGUGUCCUAUUGGUCAUAGGAUAAAGCGAAAAACUCAUUUUGUAGAGCUUAUCAAAAAGGUACACUGUAAAGUACAACUUGGAAAGGGAAAUUACUAUCCUUUGGAGGUACGGUUGUUUUAAUUAAUAAUAAGUUGAAUAUUAUUGUUAUUUAUUUAUUGUCUGUCAUAAAUCCUCCUAAAUGUAUUAUUUAUGAAUUAAAUAGGAACGUUGCAAUAUUCCUACGGAACUUAAAGGAUGUAGGCAAAAACAAACAUUGGGUUUCUUGGAUAGAUAUUUGCAGGCCUAAGAAGGAAGGAGGUCUAGGUUUUAGAAAUUUGUUUAGCAUCUCUAAAGAUUUAUUUACCAAGUUAUGGGGUAUUUUCAAAACUGAGAAAUAUAUGUGGACCAUAUUCAUGUGGAACAAAUAUUGCAAGAGAUAUGUGUCUCAAGUUGUGGAAUGAAAAGGUGGGUCACAAAUAUGGAAGAAGAUGCUUGAAGCUAGAGACUAUGUGGAUCAAGAAAUAUGGUGGGAGCCCAAGAAUGGUCAUACUAAUAUUUGGCAUGGUAAUUGCACACAGAUUGGGGCUCUCCGUUUUUUCUUGCCUUGUAGAGUCAGAUGUACAUAUAGUGGAGAAUGUGAGACAGUUAUUUGUAGAAGGAAGAUGGAAUUCAAGUUUAUUAGAAUUGUUAUUUACAAGGAGGUAUGUGAUCAUGUUCAGCACAACUUGAUGGUUGAAGAAGGAUUUGAGGAGUGGGAUAGGCUUUGGUGGAUGGCCAACCCUUCUGGUAAGUAUACAGUAAAGUUAGAAAAGUUAUGAUACAAGCAAAAGAGGCUUAAGGGGUUUAAGAAAUUCCUUUUAAAGUAUCUCUUUUCUGUGGAGGUUGUGGAAAAAUAAAAUUCCUAUAGGAGAAAUUCUGGUUAAGAUAAGGGCAUGUGAAAAUAUGUCUUGUAUUUUUUGUGAAGAAAAUAUGCAGGAAACUAUUGAACAAUUAUUUGUUAAGUGCCUUUUGGAUAAUAGAUUGUGGUGCAGAUUUGAAGCAGCAAAAGAAAUUAUCAGCCUUUUUUUGCAGCUCAGAGAUUUGAUGUACAAGUAAUGGAAAGCUGACAGACCACCAAAGCUCCAAUUACUUCUUAAUAUUAUUCCCUUAUUUAUAACAUGACAGAUCUCAAUAAUCAUGGAUGCAAAUGUCCUAUUUAGGGAUGGAGAUUAAGAUAAACUAAAAUUUAUAUCUAUUGGCUAGAUAUAAUUACCCUUGGCUGAGACAUUUACCAUCAUCAUGGCAUGUACUGGUGAAGUUUUUUUUAGGAUUAUACAACUUUAAGAAGUAGGAUGGUGUUGUGGAACUCUCCUUGUGUGGGAUCCCUUAAAUGCAACUCUGAUGGUGCAUUCAAAGGAAACUCACGCCCUAGUUCUGGGGCUUUCUGUAUGAGGAAUGGAGAAGGGAAUUUUGUGUAUUCAGAAGUUAGAAGAUUGUUUGAUGGAUCUAAUCUAGUUGCAGAAGUGGUGGCACUAAGAUUAGGUCUGGAGCAUUGUGUUGAACACAAUUUCCUUCCUGGAGCAUUGUGUUUUAGAUGGGAAUGGUAAAUUCCCUGGAGUAUUGCUAUGGAAGUUAAGAGAAUUAAAAUGUUGAUGUUGGGAAAGAAGGUGGUGGUGGAGCAUACCCUAGGAGAAGGCAACAAGUUGACAGAUUUUUUCACUAAUCGAAUUUUUUGUCCUGCAGAUACAUACAAGCUAACAUAUUCUACACUGUAGGAAGUACCUAAUAAAGCAAAAGGCAUCACACAAACAAAAAGAUAAAAUGCCUAAUUUCAAAAUAACAAAGCCUCAAAAUGGAUAGCACAAAAGUCAAAUGCCAUAUUAAAGAUGAGAGCAACCAAAGACGCAGAAAGCAUCAUCAUAACAGAGCAACAGGUAGCAAGGCAACAAGUAAGUUAUAGAAAAAUUUUGGUACGAUAAUAACUUAUUUUCUCUGAAGUUUAUGUAGUGGUAUUAGUCUUUAAUUAGGCUCGAUCUACUGAACGAUGGGGAAAAUAGAAAAUUAUCAUACACGGAAACUAGAAUUACAAUAAUAACUUGGUUGUAAUCGAGAUAAAUGAAAAAGUUGGUAUACCUGUUCAAAGAUGUCAAUUAGGUAGUCACUCAAGCAUACAAAUUAUGAAAUAAGGAGAAAUUACAUUAGUGCAAAAGAGAAAAUAAAGGAAACAAAAUAUCAAUAAUCAAAUUCGAACUCACCAGAUCUGACGUUAUUGAGUCAAAGAAGUUUUCAUUGAGUGGGUUUUCAUGGCAUUCGUAGAGUGUCUUAUGUGAACAACUCAAACUUAAAAAGUUCAUGUUAGGAUAAAGAGUUGCGAAAAAGAAAAUUUGUUGUCUUAGUUGUCCUCCUUCAGCUACAUUUCAUCAUUAGAAGGUCAUUUAGAAAGGAGAUACAGGGUGUAUGGAUGAAAUCAAGUUCAUAAUGAACCUAAAAUUCUGCUACUCCAAUAUAGGUACUACAUGGAUGAGUUCACAGAUCUAACUCAAAUGGUGGUAUUAAUCCCACUGGGAUUCAACCCAUUGAGCGACAAAUUAGAGAACUCAUUCAGCUGGUAUCGUUAGAUGGAGUAAGGCAAGCAGUCACAAAGAAUGAACUCGAUGUGAGCUGAUAUCAUAGAUGAAGAAUGAAUCGAGAACAUGAAUUUAGUGCAAGGUAAGGCAAAAAAGACAACACUGAUGGAGUACAAGAAUAGACUAGAAGCCUCUUCCACGUUCCUCUUUUGUACAAUAUCAAAUAUUUUUUGUAAUAAGUAGGAUCUUGUUGUUUUGGGUUUCUCAUCCAUUUGAUUGUGGUCCAUUGUAAAUAUAGCAUUUAUUUGAGGAAAAAUUUCUUAAAACUUCAACUUUACUUUCUAUUAUUACAUAAAAUCCUAAAUCACAAAAGUAAUUACAAAUAUCUCUUUUUAUAAUUUCACUCUCCAAAACUACAUUACUUUCUAUUCUUACAUAAAAUCUCAAAUCACAAAAGUAAUUACAAAUAUCUUUCUUUUAACUAUUUAUCUCUCUUAACUUCAUAUACAUAACUCUAUCUCCCUAUUUAUAUAUUUUAUUUUCAUAAAAAGUGCCUACAAUCAAGGAGCCACAUUCAA